CCUACGGGAGGCAGCAGUGAGGAAUAUUGGUCAAUGGGCGGGAGCCUGAACCAGCCAAGUCGCGUGAGGGAAGACGGUCCUAUGGAUUGUAAACCUCUUUAGGCGGGGAGCAAUGCCGGGCACGUGUGCCCGGAGGGAGAGUACCCGCAGAAUAAGCAUCGGCCAACUCCGUGCCAGCAGCCGCGGUAAUGCGGAGGGUGCGAGCGUUAUCCGGAUUUUUUGGGUUUAAAGGGUGCGUAGGCGGACUUUUAAGUCAGCGGUAAAAUGUCGGGGCUCAACCCGGGCCGGCCGUUGAAACUGGGGAUCUUGAGUGGGGGAGAGGUAUGCGGAAUGCGGGGUGUAGCGGUGAAAUGCAUAGAUAUCACGAAGAACUCCGAUGGCGAAGGCAGCAUACCGGCGCCCGACUGACGCUGAGGCACGAAAGCGUGGGGAUCGAACAGGAUUAGAUACCCUUGUAGUC
Molecule: ribosomal RNA, 460 nt
Filed under: uncultured bacterium
Lineage: Bacteria
Description: partial 16S ribosomal RNA
Rfam family: Bacterial small subunit ribosomal RNA
Source: RNAcentral